GCUUCGAAGGUUGAUUUACGCACAACGAGGCACUGGUCACCGUAAGGAAAGUGGAAAAGGGAAGCACGAAGGUUCACUAGAAAUUCAAGGAUUCCAAAACGGAUGCGAGCGAGUGUUGGUACGGAGACAGCAGCAUCACCGUCACCAAGACGAAACCUAAACGCGCCCCACUCUGCGCUGCAUUCGCCUCCGCCUCGCUCAGUGAACCGAGCCCAGACGUCAUUCUUAAAAGAUGGGGGUAACGUCGAGUCCGCGUGAAGGAACAGAAGGACCUCUCCCGUGGCCGCGUUCGCGCCAACGUUGCACUGCGUCGCUCUGCCCCGUGCUGACGCAAGAACACGAGCUCCCGCGCGUUUCGCCUCUAGCGCGGUGUCAUCUUCGCUGCCGCCGUCCACGACAAUGACCUCGACGGCACACCCUGAACCCAUUUCCUUCUGCGAUUCUGUCGUUCCUCCGAGACGUGUCGCACUCUCAACCGCUCCGCGCACACGUUUGGAUUCGUUUAGCGCGGGAACGACUACGGAAAUGCGGGGUGGCGGGGUGGACAUUAUGGACUAAGUGAGGGUGGACGAUGUUACUCGGCUGCCUACUGUUAGUUACUAGCUAGGGCAGUCCUGCCGAGGAAGUAAUCAAUACGGGAUCACAACCACCACUUCGCAGACGAGGAAAACGCGAGCAAGUGGUGGUGGCCUCUGUGCAACAACGCAACUUGCCAACGAAGCUAGAUACGAAAGUACUCCGGAAAGUCUCCGGAAGUACUUCCGGAAGUACGUGUGUGUGUAUCUGAUUACAAAAAGACUGAGGGUUUAGGAAGUACGUGCACUGUACGUGUACGUGUACGUGUAGUCGUGUACGUGUACAACGCGUUAUGUGCGUGAGUCGUACGUGUAAAGUGCCUAAAUUGCCAGUGUUUAGGAAACCCCUUGGAUUCGGACGACCCCAUUGGGUGUCCCGAGUUUUGUUUGACGCGUCUUUGUUCGACUUGGCACUGGCUUUUCCUGGGUUCUUUUGAAGGUAAAGUGAAAUAUCCUCCACGGUGAACAAGGGGGGUGCGGCGCGCGCGACCGCGUCCCAAGGAUUUUCUUGAGCGGGUGCGGAAGCGGGUGCGGAAGUGGGUGCGGGUGGAGGAGCGGAUUGCUCAACCUCCUCAUUUUCAUCUCCACCUUCGAAGCCACCAAAGAUCUCAGAGUUGUCGGGGAUACCCAUACCCCCCUCUUGCUGCCUUUGGACUUCCUGAUAAUACGGUAGGUGCAGACCAAGAAGGGAUAACCCCAUUCGUCUGCGGAUGUCGUUGAUGGUCUCGAUUGUUAUUUUGUAUGUAGCCAGGGACUCCUUGUGGGGGAUCGAACCAGCCUUAAUUCUUCGGAGGAUCUUGUUCCUGUUUUCUUCAAACACAUAUUUAGGGUCUUGACGGUAUUUCUCAAUGUAGGCGUUUUGUUUUUUUGUUUUUUCUUGUUGCGCGCGGGUUUUAGCUCUCACCAUACUGGGUAUUUACAGUAUAUUUUUAUUUAACGCCAAAUCCUUAAGCCACUUAGGUUUUAAACAUCUCUAAAAACUCGUCACUUGCAUCCUUGGUCUUGAAGAUCACGAGACAAUCGAAGUGGACACGUCCAAGCUUCAGCGCCAGUCGGUUGCUAAAAGGGAAGGACGAGUGCUCCACAAAAGCGACGUAGUACUUGUCUUGAUUGAUUCGCCACUCCUGGGAUGUUUCUUUUACUUUCAUCGUUUCGGCUCGAAUCCCAUUAGCACAUUCGGCGACGAGUUCGUCCAUACUCGUCUUUGAUUUCCAGAACUCUAGUGAGCCAUUGCAACAAGUAUCAAAUUCUGAUUUGUAGAGCGCAGCGUAGUUAUGCUUCAUGUUGGCUUUGAGUUUGCGCUUGAUUUUGGAUAACGCUUGGUCGCGUCCGCAGGAAGGAGAGUUGCUUACUUCGGGAGAAAACCUGACGAUAGUAUUUACUCUCACCAUUAUGGUACACUUUACGUGUACGUGUACGUGUAGUUGUACUGUACAAGCUAGAAUAUUCUGGAAGUAUUUUCCGAUGUACAUAUCCGUAUUUCCAAAAAAAUCAAUGUCUCGCGCUGUAAUCUCGGAUUCGUAGCUUUUAUGUACAAAAUCUCGUGUAUGCAAAUCAGUCUCACUCAAAAAAAAUAUGUACACGGUUCAUCGGCUUGUAUUCUAUGAACGAAGAUAAAAUAUUACGGAAGUAUGAUACUUUCGUACGUACUUUCGUACUUUAUUUCGAAAGUACUUUCGUACGAAAGUACGAAAGUACUUUCGUACGAAGGUACGUGUACACGUACAACUACUGUACUAAUAAUAAUAAACAUACAGUACAACUAUUAUCUAUUUUCGGAAGUAUGAUACCAAGUACAUGUACAGUACGUGUACGUACAUGUACAACUACAAUACAUUGACUUUUAUUCGGAA
RNAcentral lists this long non-coding RNA (2428 nucleotides) under Micromonas pusilla. RNAcentral describes it as "long non-coding RNA (MPUS_LNC000038)". Lineage: Eukaryota; Viridiplantae; Chlorophyta; Mamiellophyceae; Mamiellales; Mamiellaceae. The record is from RNAcentral.